CUAGACGUCUUCUCGUGGAAAACCAUUUCCACCGAUCCGAACGACGAACAUUCUUACUAAUGUGGUGGAUAGAAUCGGCUUAGUGACUUCAUUAUAACGCGCAAAAAAAGCAGACGGAUGUGUGGGAUGUUUAAUUAUCGGCAGGUGCUUGAUCAGAUUCUCCGAGAUUAAUUAUAAUCAAAACACUCUACUGAAAGCGUUUAUAGUUAGUGAGAUAAGUUGAAUUCUGUGUCUGUUUUGUGACUAUUUUUUAGUGAAGUUCCAAAUGAUGAUCUUUAAUAAAACACGAGUUGCAGUGGCUCAAGAGAAGAAACAAAAUAGGCUACACUAUCCGUUGCGAGCCGACUUUACAGUAUAUGGUAGUGUCCGUCACCAGAUUGAAGCUAAGCAAAUUCAAACCUACUUUGGUGAUGAAUAAGCUGUGGGAUCGUAGUUGAGAAAACUUUUCAGAUCGUGAUUUUAGUUCUAAUUUCUUUGUAAACAAAUUGAGAGUGAAAAAUCGUUACAGAUUGAGAAUACCAAUUAGUAUUACAAAGAGACCUCGGUAGUGACGGAAAAUAGAUGUUACAGCGUCACACGUACGUUAUCGUGCGGUUAAUUGAAGGGGAGGUAAAAAUUAUCCCCUUUAGCUUGGUAAGGCUUUCCAUCACGUUCUUGACAGUCAGCAAUUUUGGAGCAAAAAAGAAAUGUGAUUAUUAACAGUGACACGAUUGUGAUACCAUGAGCUUUGUACAUAAUAUAAAGGAAUGGAUCAACACACAUGACGCUUGUUGACAAAUGCAAUCUAAACCAAUGCAGUGCUGCGAAUACCGUGAAACGGAACAGGGUAGGUUCGAGGAACAAAUGCAAGAGAAAGUGGUAGUGCUGGUGGCAAAAAAAAGACAAUAAUGUAAUUGAAUUCAACGAGGAAACUCUACUAGCGCUCUUGGUACCACAACGACAUUAUGUUGGAGGGAAAAAUGAACGUGACAGAAAUAGGUCAACUAGCCAACGAUUCCGAGGCAUCCACUGGCGGUACGGCCGAUAACUCGUCAGUUCGUGAACUUCUUUACUGUGGCCAAGGGCUAGACGAUUUCCACACAAGUUACUCGAAUAUUCACGGAAUUGUGUGUUUACUGGUGUGCAUUUUCGGGAGCAUCGCAAACACUCUGAACAUCGUAGUACUCACGCGACGGGAAAUGCGUUCACCCACCAAUGCCAUCCUCACUGGUCUAGCUAUCGCCGAUUUGUUGGUAAUGUUAGAUUACAUGCCAUAUGCAAUUUACAUGAGUCCAUAUAUGCAGUUUUCUCGGGAGGAGCGGCUGACCUAUAGCUGGAGCUGGUAUGUCAUGUUUCAUUCGAUAUUCGCACAGAUUUGUCAUACCAUCUCAAUCUGGCUUACUGUGACAUUGGCUGUGUGGCGUUACAUUGCGGUUGGAUAUCCACAGAAAAAUCGAAUUUGGUGCGGUAUGACCAACACCCUAUUAGCAAUCACAAGUUCUUACAUCGUGUGCCCUAUGGUAGGCAUACUACUGUACCUGUCGUUCAGCAUACAACCACAUGUUGAACAGCUCGGAAAGGAUGGUAAUCCUUACAAAGCGAGUACAACCGGAACAGUUCGGAAUAUCACUCUCUACCGAACUUCUCCAUCCGAAUUAGCGGAGAAAAACCCUGCGUUGCUAAAUGUAAAUUUUUGGAUAUAUAGCGUAGUGAUAAAAUUGAUUCCAUGCAUAGCGCUGACGAUACUUAGUCUUCGAUUAAUAGCUGCACUACUGGAAGCAAAGCAUAGAAGGAAACAGUUAACGGGCAACUCGAAAGGCGUGAAACAAAUCGUCGACGGACGCGUCGUCGAUGUGCGGCAAAAGAAAAGCUCCAAAAACAUGGAUAAGGAAAAGCAAACAGAUCGAACGACACGGAUGCUGCUGGCCGUGCUGCUUCUCUUUCUCAUAACGGAAUUCCCACAAGGCAUCAUGGGUCUGCUAAGCGCACUGCUCGGAAAUCACUUCUUCUACAACUGCUACUUAAAACUAGGGGACCUGAUGGAUGUACUAGCCUUGAUAAAUUCUGCCAUCAACUUUAUUCUAUACUGCUCUAUGAGCCGCCAGUUUCGAAAUACUUUUAAUUACCUAUUCCGUCCGAAAUUUCUCGACAAAUGGCUUCCGGUGCCCCUGAACGACGGAACACCGAUGGGUCGCCGAAAUCAAGAUGGGGCCACAACACAAAUUACUCAAGUCUAGCAAUCAAGGAGACGUCCUGAUUGCCACUAUUGUUGCUCUAUGCUGAUAACAAGGAUAUUCAGUUGGAUAAUGUUCGAUAAUCGACGCUCCGAAACAGCUUCAACAGAGUGUGCGGUGCUUUAGUGACGUCUCCCAGCAACUGACGAUAGCAACGGUAUUUCAAUGAUAACUGUGGCCUCAUUAGUACAAAUCAAAUCUUAAUGGUGACACUUGUCUGACCGCGAAAAUAAAUACCAACGAGAAAGCAUCGAAAAAAAAAUCACAUUAGCAUCAGCAAUAAAAAUUGCAACUGAUUAUGUGAUUGAAGAAUACAUCAAUGUUAUAAUGCCGUAAUCUCCUUUGGAUUUAUUUCUUUAGGUUUUUCAUCGAGAGUACAAUCAAACUAUAUUUGGAUCAAAACCAAAACUACGGUAAUGAAUGUGAGAGCCCCGUCCAUUGCUGGUGGUCAAUUAAAUCAUUUUAAUUAAAUAUUUUGAACUUUUAAACUAUUGGUCUUCAAUGCUUGUACCAAGAUCACGAACAAAACCUAAUACGGCAAUCCAUUUUAAACUGCAUUUGGUUGGCUAUUUUGAACUGAUGUCUUUAUUCUUGUUUCAUGUUUAUUAUUAUUAUUAUUACUAUUUAUAGAAUAAAUACUUAUCAGAAAAAUAGUGUUAAAACAAUUGAAAAUUAGAUUAAUUAUUUAAUGUUUAUGUUAAAUAAACUGUUAAUAUAUGUAUUUACAUUUACGCUCCAAAUCAUAUAAUCAUAUAGGAGUACUGAAUUUGAAAACAGCUCUUUAUUAUUUCGCCAAUAUGUACUUCACAAAAUGGUUUCCUAUAAGUGCAUGGUUAUUUUUCGAUCUUAUAUUCCAUUCGAAUGUCAAACCCACAGCAUAUGUAUGGAUUGAACAAAACACUCGAUAAGUGAGCUCUUUACUACUAGGCAUUAUAUUAAAUAUCUAACUUUUUAUAUAACUUAAUUAAAAUACCUUUUAUGUAUAGAAAUUCUUGUAAGCGCCAGCCCAGGGCUGAAAGUCUCCUUAAUAAAGAUAAAAAAAAUAAAAAAGUAAAACUAGUAUAAGUUAAAGGAAUUUUAAAAUUAGUAUUUGAAUUGUUUCUUACGUAAAAUCUUUAAAUUCGUUUAUGUGAUUUUUAAACAUUUUUAAGGAUAUUUUUACUAUUCAUCCGGUAUAGUGCUUGUAGUACACCAACUGUUUCAAACUGUUAACAACUACUGUAUACGCAGCUUUUAAGGAUCAAUGGAAUUCAGGUCGGUAUUACAUACUAACAACUUCAAAAACUAUGUAUUGUGCAGUAAGAAUCGGCUCUUUUCUCACGUGAAUUGUGACAUUACUCCGUUGCAACUUGAAAUAGUCCUCUGUCAUAACAUCGUCUAGAAGUUAUACAAAGUAUUUCGAGACCAUUCUGGUGUGGAUUGUGGCUAUUGCCGUUCUUCAUAUGCAUGAAGGACUCACACCAUGAAAGUGAGACCUUCAACAUUUGAAUUCAAUUUUAAUUCGGGAUGUACAGUAAUCCCUCCAUAUGAGCGGUAAACGUUAUCAUCCACCCAUUUCUUUUUCUCGUUUUUUUUUUAUUGUUGUCAACCAUAAACUAGUUAUCUAUAGAAAAUCAGCUCUAUAGGUUGCAGGACUGUCAAGAAAUAGGGACAGCCAAAUUAAGGGAUUACAGUAUGCGUAAAUUGUGACAAUAUAAGGCGCAGCAGUCAGGACUGACAAGAAUAAAUUCCUAUUAGCUAGAUAAAACUAAAAUUAUGAAUCCUUUUUUAUCCGAGAUAUUUGUUUCUAAGCUAAUAUCAAUUUCGUAUAAAUAUGUCUUAUGGUUAAGAUUUUUUAAAAAAUAUCAAGAUCUUCUCAAUAUCUGUGUAACACACAAAGUGUUGGGAUAUGAGGAUCAACUGCCUGGUUUAUUCAUUAGAAAUUGAACUUUCAAUUCGAUGCCCGAUAAAAAUCAGGAAUUGGAUUUGUUUGUGUCCUUAAUGCUCUUUAAUCGCAAUUUCUUCUUUUUUUGAUUCUUUGAGAGUUGCUUUGUCCAAUUCAAGAACCAUUAUAUGCUUUGAUUCAUUGAAAAAACUUUUUCUUUGGUAUUUUUUGCGAAUUUUAAUGAUAAUUUACAUUCAUUUUCUCACCAAAACACUUCACUUUUUUUUUACUUAAAUGAUUCUCUAGUCUUUCAGCUUAAAUCUUAUUGGAUUUUUACGACUGAGCGAAUGCAUUUUGCCAGGAUUUAUUUCAAAUAAAACACACGUACUACAAAAUAUUGCUGAUUUAGAGUUU
Ochlerotatus camptorhynchus is the source of this 4491-nucleotide RNA transcript. It is a transcript of the gene named G-protein coupled receptor dmsr-1-like, with no coding region annotated. NCBI's taxonomy places the organism in Eukaryota, Metazoa, Arthropoda, Insecta, Diptera, Culicidae. The transcript has 5 exons. The record is from RefSeq and is a predicted model, not a curated record.